Molecule: long non-coding RNA, 1041 nt
Organism: Amaranthus tricolor (Joseph's coat)
Lineage: Eukaryota; Viridiplantae; Streptophyta; Magnoliopsida; Caryophyllales; Amaranthaceae
Exons: 3
Source: RefSeq, a predicted model, not a curated record
AUAAAAGUAAAGUUGAUUCAAUAUUAAUAAAGAAUAAACUUUUUUUCAAAAUAUAAAUAAAAUAAAAUAAAAUAAAAAAACCCAAAUUCAGAUUAAAAAACAAUUCAAUGGUACAUAAAAAAACUAAAAACCUUUAUUCAAUCACAUCACACUUAUCAACACCACACUUCACACUUGAGUGUAUAGAGGUAAAGUGGUACUGCAAAUCUGCAAUUCUUUUCAAGGAAAGACUAAAGAAAGAAAGAAAGAAAAUCUACAAAUAGUGAUAUCAGUCAUCAAUUUUUGAUUGUCUUCUUCAUAGGCAAGGAAGUACGACACCUGCACGAUGGAUCCAACAAGCAACUCCAGCAGUCUAGAAGGCGGCACUAGCAGUCCAGAACGUGGCACCAGCAGUUGGGCAGGCGGCAGAUUGACAUACACGUUUUCAGGGAAACAAUUCGUCCUCUUGAUUUUUUUAAGGACCUCGAUUUUUAAGAGGGCGAAAUUUCAGUUGUGCUUGAGCAGUGUUAUUUGCAAUGCGUAAAGGUUGAUUGCAGGUGGGGUCUGGUGUGAGAUCUCGACGUAGAAACCGUAAUAAUCAACACUAUGUUUUACCUUUUGUAUUAGAUUGUGAGUAGAGAGAAACUCUGAAUUAAUGUAACAAAAGAGAUAGUUUUCUUUUCGUUUCCGCUAUUUCGAUUAGUUUGUUUAGAGGCCUCUAGGCUCUCGAGUUGUACGUUAGAGCUUCCGCUGACUUAUUACCUUUCACAUUGGUUUUGUUUUCUGUUUAUCUAUAUUUCUUUAUCGACGGAACGUUGACGGUCCUAGAGAAAAGUCUUCUCUGGAGUCCAAAAAGUGAACCGAAAUUUGUAUUUUCAUAUGGAUUUUCGGGUCACUUAAACGGGACCGUUACAUGUAAAUAACAUACUCACCUCGAAAAAGAUUGCUGGUAUCGACAAAAAGAAAAAGCAAACUAUUCCGAAAAUAAUAAUUUUGGAGAUCAAAUAUUUUACACUAGAUUAAAUGCACAAGAAAAAGUAAGUGACAUAUGGUAUAUUGAUA